AUGAAGACUGUGCUUGUCUAAGGCAUACCCACAACCGGUGUAAAGCAAAAGGGUACGAAACCUUAAUUCGAGCGAUCAGGGGGCUCCGGUGGCAGUUUGAUGAACGUCGGCAAAUCCCAUUCAAGCUUCAACCUUCUUGCACAUGAUUCGGUCAUUGCGCUCUUGCCAAAUCCUGUUGAUUACAGUAGAUAGCACAAGCUUGUUGACUGAAUUCUUUAAGUUAUUACUUGACCAGCGAAUCAACACUUGAUUAACCAAAUUGCUUUACCGAGAAGGGGAAAAAUGAAAUUUACAUUUGUUUUGGAGGGCGAUCCAAAUUGGUUGAGUAAAAGAGCAGGCGAAGAACAAGUGAUCGUGGGUUUCAUCAACAAGACUGCAAAGAUGACACACUCUGGAGCCCGUGUAAUGACUCAUACUUGCUCCAUCAAGGGUGGAAAGCCUUCUUUGUACUACAAGCCACAAGGUAAAUUUGCAUCUUGGGAUGGAGAGGUUGUUCCAAAUCAGGUGUUGCCAAGGUUUUGGGUGGCUGUGUGCCUCAAGCCAUGCAAUUGUGUAACUCAGUGAGUAUUCCCCUGUAGGUGAUGGAAUCCAAAUGAAAAAGUCGACAUUGGAGAUCGGAGGAGGAAAAUUACUAAUCUCAAGGAAACGUUGAAUGAGGAAGUCUGGGAAAAUCCAUUCUCCACCAAAUUCUUUUGGUUGACAGCAGGCAAUCCAAGUCACCUUAGCUCCAGUGUGCUUAAAUUCCGAGCCAGACCAAAGGAAAUUUCUCAUAAGGUUGGUGACCUCAGCUAAUACUGAUUUAAGUAAGAGAAUAGGCUGGACCAAUAGUUUAUCAUACUGUAGAGGACUGAUUGGAUCCGUUGGAUUUUGCCUGCAUAGGAAAGAAACUUAGAUGACCAAUGGUUAAUCCUUUUAGUGAUCCUCUCUACUAGACCUCAACAAUCAUCUGCUUUUAGCCUAGUGGAGAGCAGAGGGACACCCAAGUAUUUUAUAGGUAGUGAACCACAAUUAAACCCUGGUAGAUCCUUGAUGCUAUUAUUGAGAGCUGAGCCCAUUCUAGAGACAAAGAAGGAAUUUUUUGAGUUGUUGGUUUUCAUUCCCGAGAGGACAGAAAAAUGGUCUAGGGCAUGCUUAAAUGUGGAUAAAGAGGCGAGGUCUCCAUGGUUGAAGAGAAGUAGGUCAUCAGCAAAAAUAAGAUGUGAGAUAACCAAAUUUCUACAUCUUGAGUGGAAUUUGAAGUGAUGAGCGCUGAAAAGUGCUUAUCCCCAAAAUAAGCUAAUUCUGCCAAAUAAGAGCUUAAAAGAAGCUAACUCAAGCUGGAUGGAAGAAAGGAGCAAAGUGGAAGCGGAAUGAAACAAAGUGUGAAAAUCAGCAUGUUCGAUCGAUCUCAAGAAUACUCUGAUCGAUCGAAAGUUCAUCGAUCUAGACUCUCCAAGAUGGAUCCAAGCUCUUUUGUCCUUAUCCAAAGAUCCCACAAAGUUUGAUCGAUCCAACAAUUCUCAGAUCGAUCGAGAAGAUUCCAUUUUAUCCUGUUGUACCACCCUACCUACCACUUUUGUCUCUUUCCCCAAAAUAUCUCAGAUCUGUCCUUAUCCAAAAAGGCGCCGCUAUGGGAGGAUCGAUCCAGCCAAUGUUUGAUAAAUCUCAGCUAAGUUCGAUCGAUCUCAGCAUAAGUUCGAUCGAUCGAACCCUCUCAAGUGCGAAUUAAAUUAAUUUCCAACUCAUUAAGAGUUGUCUCAUUGUGCAAUCAUUGGAGGAGCCCCUGUGUACAAGCCUAGACCAUUGGGUGUGACAUUUGAGCUACCUAUAUAAGGAUUAUGAGCCACUUUUACAUAUAUGCUUUUUAGGAGUUGAUAGAUAUAAUUUUUUAUUAUUCUUAGAGAGGAAGAAAAGAUAAGAGGAGGCUAGAGACACAUUCUUGGGAGGUCUUCCAUCUACUUCAAGAAGAAGAGUAUUUCUACCAUGGAGAUAGCCCUUGAGGGUUGGAGGACACCAUUCAUGAGUGGCUAGACAUCCUCUUGGGGCUAGAGUUAGCCCCAAGCAUGCUUUCUUUACCUUGAUUUAUGUAUUUUUGAGGGGAUUUGUGUAGUAAUACAUGUUUUGACAUCUUUAUAUACAUAGAUCUUGUUUAUUCAAUGAUUUGUGUGGUUUAAUUCUUCCAAUUGAUC
Long non-coding RNA from Cornus florida, 2168 nucleotides. RefSeq lists it as uncharacterized. The record is from RefSeq and is a predicted model, not a curated record. The transcript is spliced from 3 exons. Lineage: Eukaryota; Viridiplantae; Streptophyta; Magnoliopsida; Cornales; Cornaceae.